GGGGAUAUGGCGGAAUUGGUAGACGCUGCGGACUUAAAAUCCGUUGAUUCUAAAAAAUCGUGAGGGUUCAAGUCCCUCUAUCCCCA
Molecule: transfer RNA, 86 nt
Filed under: Pseudoderbesia arbuscula
Lineage: Eukaryota; Viridiplantae; Chlorophyta; Ulvophyceae; Bryopsidales; Bryopsidaceae
Description: tRNA-Leu
Rfam family: tRNA
About the family: Transfer RNA (tRNA) molecules are approximately 80 nucleotides in length. Their secondary structure includes four short double-helical elements and three loops (D, anti-codon, and T loops).
Source: RNAcentral